RNAcentral lists this ribosomal RNA (468 nucleotides) under uncultured bacterium. Its description in RNAcentral is "partial 16S ribosomal RNA". It matches the Rfam family "Bacterial small subunit ribosomal RNA", at positions 28 to 507 of the family's 1533-position model. The record is from RNAcentral.
GACGAACGCUGGCGGCGUGCUUAACACAUGCAAGUCGAACGGAAAGGCCCUGCUUUUGUGGGGUGCUCGAGUGGCGAACGGGUGAGUACCACGUGAGUAACCUGCCCUUGACUUUGGGAUAACUUAAGGAAACUGGGGCUAAUACCGGAUAGGAGCUCCUGCUGCAUGGUGGGGGUUGGAAAGUUUCGGCGGUUGGGGAUGGACUCGCGGCUUAUCAGCUUGUUGGUGGGGUAGUGGCUUACCAAGGCUUUGACGGGUAGCCGGCCUGAGAGGGUGACCGGGCACAUUGGUACUGAGAGACGGCCCAGACUCCUACGGGAGGCAGCAGUGGGGAAUAUUGCACAAUGGGCGGAAGCCGGAUGCAGCAACGCCGCGUGCGGGAUGACGGCCUGCGGGGUGUAAACCGCUGUCGCCUGUGACGAAGCGGUAGUGACGGUAAUGGGUAAAGAAGCACCGGCUAACUACGUG